This 253-nucleotide ribosomal RNA is filed under the name uncultured bacterium. RNAcentral describes it as "partial 16S ribosomal RNA". It matches the Rfam family "Bacterial small subunit ribosomal RNA", at positions 524 to 776 of the family's 1533-position model. The record is from RNAcentral.
UACGGAGGGGGCUAGCGUUGUUCGGAAUUACUGGGCGUAAAGCGCACGUAGGCGGCUUUGUAAGUUAGAGGUGAAAGCCCAGGGCUCAACCCUGGAUUUGCCUUUAAGACUGCAUCGCUUGAACAUCGGAGAGGUAAGUGGAAUUCCGAGUGUAGAGGUGAAAUUCGUAGAUAUUCGGAAGAACACCAGUGGCGAAGGCGACUUACUGGACGAUUGUUGACGCUGAGGUGCGAAAGCGUGGGGAGCAAACAGG